CCUACGGGGUGCAGCAGUGGGGGAUAUUGCACAAUGGGGGAAACCCUGAUGCAGUGACGCCGCGUGGGUGAAGAAGCGCCUCGGCGCGUAAAGCCCUGUCAGCAGGGAAGAAAAUGACGGUACCUGAAGAAGAAGCCCCGGCUAACUACGUGCCAGCAGCCGCGGUAAUACGUAGGGGGCAAGCGGUAUCCGGAUUUACUGGGUGUAAAGGGGGCGCAGACGGCGAUGCAAGCCAGGAGUGAAAGCCCGGGGCCCAACCCCGGGACUGCUCUUGGAACUGCGUGGCUAGAGUGCAGGAGGGGCAGGCGGAAUUCCUGGUGUAGCGGUGAAAUGCGUAGAUAUCAGGAGGAACACCGGUGGCGAAGGCGGCCUGCUGGACUGCAACUGACGUUGAGGCCCGAAAGCGUGGGGAGCAAACAGGAUUAGAUACCCCGGUAGUC
This 440-nucleotide ribosomal RNA is filed under the name uncultured bacterium. RNAcentral describes it as "partial 16S ribosomal RNA". It matches the Rfam family "Bacterial small subunit ribosomal RNA", at positions 338 to 795 of the family's 1533-position model. The record is from RNAcentral.